This 344-nucleotide unclassified non-coding RNA is filed under the name soil metagenome. Its description in RNAcentral is "partial contains 5.8S ribosomal RNA, internal transcribed spacer 2, and large subunit ribosomal RNA". The stretch from base 1 to 120 matches the Rfam family "5.8S ribosomal RNA", at positions 35 to 154 of the family's 154-position model. The record is from RNAcentral.
GAUGAAGAACGCAGCGAAAUGCGAUACGUAAUGUGAAUUGCAGAAUUCAGUGAAUCAUCGAAUCUUUGAACGCACAUUGCGCCCGCCAGUAUUCUGGCGGGCAUGCCUGUUCGAGCGUCAUUUCAACCCUCAAGCCCCCGGGCUUGGUGUUGGGGAUCGGCGUGCCCUCGCGGCGCGCCGUCCCCUAAAUCUAGUGGCGGUCUCGCUGUAGCUUCCUCUGCGUAGUAGCAACACUCGCACUGGAUCGCAGCGCGGCCACGCCGUUAAACCCCCCACUUCUGAAAGUUUGACCUCGGAUCAGGUAGGAAUACCCGCUGAACUUAAGCAUAUCAAUAAGCGGAGGA